Molecule: transfer RNA, 77 nt
Filed under: archaeon HR01
Lineage: Archaea
Description: tRNA-Met
Rfam family: tRNA
About the family: Transfer RNA (tRNA) molecules are approximately 80 nucleotides in length. Their secondary structure includes four short double-helical elements and three loops (D, anti-codon, and T loops).
Source: RNAcentral
AGCGGGGUAGGGUAGCCAGGUCAACCCGCCGGGCUCAUAACCCGGAGAUCCCUCGUUCGAAUCGAGGCCCCGCUACC